RNAcentral lists this ribosomal RNA (525 nucleotides) under Myrionema strangulans. Its description in RNAcentral is "SSU rRNA". It matches the Rfam family "Eukaryotic small subunit ribosomal RNA", at positions 1286 to 1828 of the family's 1831-position model. The record is from RNAcentral. Lineage: Eukaryota; Phaeophyceae; Ectocarpales; Chordariaceae.
GGCCGUUCUUAGUUGGUGGAGUGAUUUGUCUGGUUAAUUCCGUUAACGAACGAGACCCCCGCCUGCUAAAUAGUGUGGCUUACGCUUUUGCGUAGGUACUCGCUUCUUAGAGGGACUUCUGGUGACUAACCAGAGGAAGUUGGGGGCAAUAACAGGUCUGUGAUGCCCUUAGAUGUCCUGGGCCGCACGCGCGCUACACUGAUGCAUGCAACGAGUUUUUUUUCCUGGGUCGAGAGGCCCGGGUAAUCUGUUGAACGUGCAUCGUGAUAGGGAUAGAUCAUUGCAAUUAUUGAUCUUGAACGAGGAAUUCCUAGUAAACGCGAGUCAUCAGCUCGCAUUGAUUACGUCCCUGCCCUUUGUACACACCGCCCGUCGCACCUACCGAUUGAAUCAUUCGGUGAGGAUUCCGGAUUCCGUUGCUUACGCUUCACGGCGUUUUUAGCGAAAGAAGUUAUCCAAACCUCAUGAUUUAGAGGAAGGUGAAGUCGUAACAAGGUUUCCGUAGGUGAACCUGCGGAAGGAUCA